AUACGGAGGGUGCAAGCGUUAUUCGGAAUCACUGGGCGUAAAGGGUGCGUAGGCGGUUUGAUAAGUCUGACGUGAAAUCCUAUGGCUCAACCAUAGAACUGCAUUGGAAACUGUCAGACUAGAAUACUGAAGGGGCAGAUGGAAUUAGUGGUGUAGGGGUAAAAUCCGUAGAUAUCACUAGGAAUACCGAAAGCGAAAGCGAUCUGCUGGGAAGUUAUUGACGCUGAGGCACGAAAGCGUGGGGAGCAAACGGGAUUAGAAACCCUAGUAGUCC
RNAcentral lists this ribosomal RNA (274 nucleotides) under uncultured bacterium. RNAcentral's name for it is "partial 16S ribosomal RNA". It matches the Rfam family "Bacterial small subunit ribosomal RNA", at positions 523 to 796 of the family's 1533-position model. The record is from RNAcentral.